AAUUCUUAGACCCUUAAAACUUUCCUUCCAAACUUCACCUACUGUGAAUCAAAUUCCUCUUCUUCUAAUGGGGUGGCUUCACUCCAUCUUUUGCCCAUUGAAGAAAUUCUGGCGCCGGAUUCGUGCUACCAAAAGCAACCGUGGGGGAAUAUACAUACUCUAUGAAGAUGUGAAGUCGUGUUCUUGUGAAGAUGUGCACGCUUUAUGGACGCUGCUGGUUGAUUCAGAUGCAAAUUUUACAUAAAUUUAAUGAAACAUCAUGAUAAAUAUGGGCACCGACAAAAUGCCAAUAAUAAAUAAGGAGAAUUAAAAUGUUUUCUUCCCCUUU
This is a long non-coding RNA of Olea europaea var. sylvestris, 328 nucleotides long. RefSeq lists it as uncharacterized. Lineage: Eukaryota; Viridiplantae; Streptophyta; Magnoliopsida; Lamiales; Oleaceae. The transcript is spliced from 2 exons. The record is from RefSeq and is a predicted model, not a curated record.